UUCGGGUUAAAUCAAUAUUUUGGUUUGACUAGAUUCAUUUAAGAAAAAUAUAUUUCUCCUCUCCGGCGCGACUUCUGGAAAUUAUCUCUUCUCUCCAAAGUCGUCUUUUCUCUGCCUUAUAAAGGUAUCUUUCUUUUUUUUCUUAUACCUCCGUAGUUUAUUAUUUUUAGACUAAUAUGAUAAAAUAAUUAGAUUAUCAAUUAGUCUACGUAUUUAUACAUUAGACCCUAGCCCGUAGCUAUUUUUUCUUCCGUAAAACAGCUUGGCCCUGAUUUUUCAAAUAGCCAUAACUUUUUACCCGUGUGCCCAAAUCCAAUGAAACCAACGCUCACUUCUUCGUUAUGAUCUCCUCUAUCCAGUAAUCCAACUCAAACAUGUUUUUGAAAAUUUUAAAAUUUGAAUUAGAUCAGAUUUGAAUUCAAACUUCUUUUGAUCAUAUCUUUUUAUCUGUAACUCUGUUUGAGUUGAUUCUUUUUGCAAAUCGAAGCUCUUGACCUAAAUUUUCUGAUAAUGCCAAAUUCACAUAAGUUUGGUACUGUUAGAAAUUGUUUUAUGUUGCAAGAGCUAUUUGCUUGGUUUUGAUGUUUUCCGAAUCGACUUCUUCGAUCUUUCUGGUCUUUUGAGUGAUUGCUUAUGUGUGUUUACUAUUGCUUGAUUACGAUAGAUUGACCGGAGUGUGACGAGUAGAGCUAUCAAGAUUUUUGAGUGCGAAUCAUCUUCAUCAACAUUGCAGGCAAGGUCACACUUUGAUCAUACCUCUUACUACCCAGUUUUAUUUGCAUUAGAUCAAACCUCAAACAUUGCAUGAUUAGGAUCUAAUUAAAUUGUGAGAUGGGAAGUAGUUGAGGUAGCACCUAUUACUUGUUUAUUAUCAAACACUUGGGAGUUACUUAUCCGAAUUCCUUAUAUUGCUAUGCUAUGCUUGUAGACGUGGUUGGGGUGAGUGAAAUCCAUGACAGAUGUGAGACUGUUAAUUAAUGGUUCAACUUAAGGUGGCAACUUAAAUACACAUUUGGGUGGAUUGAGGCACCUGGUUAUUCUAGGAUUGCCUGCCUAGGCACCUGGGUAAUCCAGGACUUGCCUGUUUUCUUUUGGACCGCCACCCAAGCUCAAAGGGAUCAUGAGACUACUCAUACUAGAAACUUCCAUGUGCAGCCACAAGCUAUUAUGGGCUCUAGCAUAGUUGACUAAGUUGUGCGAACUCUUACAGUGGUAGACUAGCAGAUGUACGGGAUGUAGGUGGUACGGUCUACCCGAUCGUAAGGUGCUAGUCCUUCUGAAAGACUAUGUCUCGGUCAUCCGUCUUCUCAAACACCAUGUAGUGUGAGAAACCAAACGGAGGCGAUCGAGUCUUGUGGGGAAAAGUGCACAAACCUCUACAGAGUGUAUAAACUAAUCAUGAUUAGCCGUGUCCCCGGUUAUGGACAAUUUGAGUAUCUAGUACUUGGAUUAUCAUGUGAAUCUCAUCAUGUUACUUUAAAUUAAUUUUGUUGGGUUUAAUGAUGUUACUUAAUUUGGAUUGAGAAUGCUGUCAAGCAUUCUCAAUGUUCAACAACCACCAUGAUAGUUAAAUAAAUUAUAUUCCUUUGUAGUAGGGAAAAAUUGGCUUUUCGCAAAAACUAUAACCAUAGAGCUUUUCCACCAGCCAAAUAUGCAUGUAGUGAUAGCCUUUGUUCAUCAUUCUCUAUGGUGUGAAUCUGCCAGUACAUUCAAUGUACUGACCCAUUUCGGGCUGCAACGUCUCAUGUUGCAGGUUUCUUACGAUGAGUAAGUGAUACGUUAGGGCUACGAUUUCUACACUCAACUUUGCCGUUGGUGUUGAUGGGAAUCCACAACCUUGUUACUUCCGCUAUUUUUUUGGAUUGAGGUAAUAGUAUUUACUUUACUUUAUACAUGUGAUUUACCUUUGUUAUAAAUCCUUCGAGUACUGUGUGUGUCAGCAUACCGAUCCAGGGAUGACACUUAAGCACAGAGACUUGAUCCAUUCGGAUCAGGUCGCUACAAGAUGGUAUCAGAGCACAUGUUGACUGUAGGAACGUGACCCUUGAAACUGGCAAGUCCAUAGCAAAGAUUUUUCUCUACAACUUUCCCUUUCAAAAGAUCUUUUACCUCUCUUCUCUUCUGAGCUUGUUCAAAAAUUCCCUUUAGUGAGACCAUACCCCUUUCCCCUUUUGACCACUCGAAGAUUCGACUGAUGAGACCACUCCAAGAAGUACAAGAUAUCGGACAGCUAAGACCACUUCGGAAUGAAGAGUAUUUUCCAUGCCUCUGAAUAAUGGAAACUACAACGGUUGAAGACCGAAGACAAGUAGAAUUUGAAGGCUCUGAAGAAUUCCCAAAUUUGUAUGACCUAGGAAGGCUACCCUUAUGGAACUUGGCAGACUAUGGAAACUGUCAAUACCCGAGAUCAAGGUGUGUUGGAGAAAGACUGGAACAUGGAGCAUAGGACUCAAAGUUUUGUCAAGAAACCCUAAGGCAGGAGAUAUCAACUGUGGAGAGAUAGCUCAUGGGAAUGACAAGAGCAGGAACACGGUUAUUCGUGAUGUCAUCACCCGCUGAUGCUAUUGUCACCGUGCUAAGUUAAGGAUGCAUUUCUUCAGAAUGGAUUUGAUGGAAGAAGGCUGAUGGAGCACCUAAUAGUAAGAUGAAGUUUUAACCUUAGCCGGUGUAUCGCCAGGAUCGGGAGUAGUACAUCAAGAAGUUUAAGGAGGAGCUCCAUGAAGCCGUAUUAGACAAGGAAGCAUUUCGUGAAGAACUCAGGAACCAAAAGCUGAAAGUAGCCAAGCUAGAGGAGCUACAACCUCGAGAUACCGGAGAUUUAUCAGGAACUGAAGGACCGUAUGACCAUGGCUCAUGCCAAGGAUGUUGAAACCUAGAAGUUUGGAAUACAAUUCUAGAAUAUUCAAGGAGGUCACGAGAGACUUCGCGUCAAUAGAGAUGCUCUGACAAAAGAACUGGAAAAAGGACAAGCAUGAUUGGAAGAAGCCAUUGGAGGCAUGAACAAGGCUUGAAGAGUUUGGAGACAUUGAAGAUUUAUUGACCUUUAGAAGACCAAACCCCUGUUAUAUACCUACGUUAGAUGCGACGUUUCUGAGCUGUCAUUUGCUUGAUGUUUUUCCCGAUGGCCACAAAUAAAAUCUGUCUUUUCAAAACUUUUGUUUGUAUUGUGUGUAUCCCUCUCUAUCUCUCUUAUCUUACCCCAAACCCAUGGACCCAAUAGAGGAUGAAUGAAGAUGAGCUUAUAUUUUCUGGACCGAUAAGUAAAUUGGAGACGGACCGAUGGAUUCAGAACAUGGAGGAUCACAUGAAGAAUAACCCUAUAGUCGGAAAGGAUAUGACCCAGCAUGCUCUUCAGUGCUUUGAAAGAGGUGCUGCUACUUGGUGGAGGAUAUACCAAACCAUGAAUGGAUGACAAGGAGUAACCACUUGGAGAGAAUUAAAGUUGACUCUGCAAAGAUCUCACCUUGUGUCCCAGAAGUUGAAGUCUUAUGGAAAGGAUAUAAGGAAACCUUGUGCAUGCAAGAUUUGUGGAGAAAUAGGAUACACCCAUAAAGAACACAAGGAUGAAUGCCCUAACUGUGAAGGAAGUCACCCAAUUGAAGAAUGCCCAACUAGGAAGAUUACUUGUUUCUUGUGUGAAGGGACUACCCACUAUCCUGCUCAGUGUCACAUUUACCCCAUGGUACAACGAACCAUCCAGCAGAAGAAAGAAGUAAUGAAAGGAGCCCUCAUGGAAAUUUUAGAAGAACCCGUGAUGAAGGAAGAUGUGGAAGACACACCUAAAAAGGACCCGAGUAAACCCUGCACUAAGUCUUGCUAUUCAUGUGGAGAAGAAGGACACAUCUCCCAAAAUUGUUUGAAUGGGGAUCUAAUAGAAUUCCCGACAUAGGAAGUAGAAUAUGACCCACAGGAAAUAGAAGCCCUGAUUGGAAUGGAAAAGUCCAGGAAGAGAAACCGAUUGGAGCCCAGGAGGAACCUGAGUCAUAUCAUCUGUUACAGGUGGAAGGAGUCAGGGCACUACCUCAACAAUUGCCCAAAAAGGAAACCUCGAUACUUGUCAGAAGUAAUAUGUUUUAGUUGUAAUGGAGCAGGGCACUUUGCCAGAGAAUGCCCCAAGGAGAAGGAAACUUGUGCUAGAUAGUUGAGUUUGCAACAAAAGAAAUGGAGUAGUAGAAGUGAGAACAUUUUAUUUUCUAUUGAGGUGUUGAGUUGAGACAUGUAAUGGAAAAGCGAGAGAUUGUAAUCAUUGGAGAAUGAAUAAAGUUAGCAUCGUUGGUACUGAUAUGGAUUUUAUGAGUUGUUACUCUAUGAAGAAGAAUUUUGGCCAUUUUGAGGAUAUGAGAAAUAUGGUCUAUGGAAGAUUUGUGCAUUUUAAGGGUGGUAGUACCCUGUAAGAACCCUUGACCACUGGAAAAGAUAAGGAUACUCCACUGAGUGGAUUUCGGACAAAAUGAAUAUGAGUUUUGUCUCGAUAUGUGUGAUACCCUAAGAGUAUGUGGGAUGAAGUUGGAGACCGUCAGUUGUUUGGACGAAAUGAGAUCAAGGAGUCAGAAGAGAAUGCUAAGUGGAUUCAAGAUAGACUGAAGGUAGCUCAGUCCAAGCAGAAGAGUUAUGUAGACUCAAAAACUCAAGGAGGUAGUCUAUGAAAUUGGAGACAGAGCAUGUCUUCGCAUGUCCCCUACGCGAGGAGUUAAACGGAUUGGAGUUAAGGGACAGUUAGCCCCGAGAUUUGUAGGACCAUACCGAGUUUUGGAGCGUAUGGGAGAAGUGGCCAACAAGUUGGAGUCACCCGAAGGACUGUCAGGAGUUCAUGAUGUGUUUCACAUUUCCCAGUUUAAGAAGUGCCAUGCAGAGAUGGCCAGUACUCCCCUGUAAGGACGCUUGACCCUGGAAAGGAUAAUGAUGUUCCUCGAAGUGGAAUAUGGACUUCAUAAGUGUAAGUUUUAUCUUGGUAUGAGGGAUAUCCCACGAGGAUGAAUAGAUAAAUUACUAUUGGAUAUAAAGGGGGUAUGAUGUUGGAAAUAUGGAUCAAUGAAAAUCCCAUGAUGAGUCUGAGUAAUCAUGUCCUAGUUUUGGUGCCAAUAGAAGGAAGGAAGACAAUACAAUUGGAUGGAUUUAAGAAUACUAGGAAGUUGGAAGUUGGAAUAAUGAUAAGUUGCCCGAUGAUAAGUUCAAGGACUACAGGUGAUGAGGUGGGCCAUAACCCAUAGGCCCAGGACCUGCCAAGAAGCAAGCACAUUCUUGCUGAAGGAAAAACCCUGGAAGAAGUUACGAUUUUAACGACAGACGAUCUUACAGGAGUUACGCAAAACCUGCGAGUUGUGAAGGAACAAUAGAUGGUUGUUUGGCUUGCAGAAUCUAUGGAUUUAUCCGAACUUGGUUCGUCGACAAGAGAAAUUCUGCAAUGCUUGUUAGGAUGACUGAGUGUUAGAAUGCGAGAUUCGCUAAACCAUAUACAAGGUAAUGAUUUGGGUGCGGGAUGGAUUGAUCACCAUAACAACUUACUCUUAUUGUUUGCCUUGCUAUAUGGAAUGGUAAAUCUGAGUGACUUACCUAUAGUAGAGAGACGACGAUGAAAACCUUGUUUAAACCUUAGAAUGGUAUAGCAAUUUUUUUCCUUGUACAAGGCAGCUUUUGCCGACCGUAGGUUAUACGGUGAGGAUCAACCCAGACCCAUUUCCUGCAGGAGAAACCAUAAAUUGUUGACCACCAUGAGAUAUCGAUAGUUGUUUAGUUUUGGCGCCCGACCCGUCAGCUAAGAAGACCCAAUCUCGGAAUAACCUUACCAAGAGGAAAGGACAGAAGAAUUGAGGAAAAGGUUAUGCCACUACCGGAAGAGCCAGAGAAGGAAUUAUCUCGAGAAUCUGAGAAGACCGACACUGUUAACAAUAUGGAUGAAGUAUAUGAGUUUCGAUGGAGCUGUAACCAUGCUUCUAAGGGUGGUAGCACCCCAGACCCCUGUGAUGAUUGAUGGAUUUUGAGAAGACCCCGAACCUAACCUAUUUGUUUCUAGCCUCUCCGAAUCUCGAGGACGAGAUUCAUUUUAAGGGUGGUAGGUUUGUAACAUCCCAAAAUUCUAAACUUUGGAAUGUUAUAAUAAAUAGAUAGAUUGAUUGAUUGAUUGUUUGAUUGAUUGUCUGAAAGUGAGUGAAUUCAAAACUUUUGAAAGUUAAAUGAGAGGGAAUAAAAGGACUUUCCCAAACUUUCAUAUUUGCUUUCUGAUCUCCAUGAAUUCAAAUUCUUUUCAACACAGAACCCUAGAGAGAAGAUGACAUGACUUCUUCCAUUUAAAAUGAAAAGGGUGUUUGAAAAAUAUUUGAAUUCCAUUGGGAAAUAUAUUCCAAUUCAGAAACUUUAUGCAACUCAAUGAUUUUCACGAGAGAAGAUAAAAUGACUUCUUCAAAUUAUGAAAUAUGAGUUGGGAGUUUCAAAGGAUCAAUUUCAAGUCCCUUUGGAAUUAAUUUCCAAUUUGGAUUUAUUUGAGUUUUAUUCAAAUUAUUUUUCUCCAAAAAUAAAAUAUAUGGAAAUUAGGGUAACAUGAUUCCCUACAACAAAAAAUUGGACAGAAAUAAAUUUGAUUUCAUUUUGGUAUUUCUAAAAUGAUUUUUAUUGGAUUUUAUUAGAACAGUGGCACUCUUUGAAUUAUUAGAAUUUGUAUGUAUUUUAUUUAAUACUAGAAAAAUGUUCAUGUCGUAGAAAAUCUUUUUCUGAAAAUUUUGAUAUAUAAUAUGCCUAUAUAAAGUUUUAUUUUAUUUUCGUUUUUCAGUUUAUCACAUUCUGUAAAAAAAACUGCACCGCGCGGCCGGCCAAAGGCAAAAAAAAAACUGCACCGCGCGCCCGGCCGAAGGCCUUUAGGCCCAUCGCCUCUUUUCUUCUCUGUUUCGUAUGUUUUCGUCUAUGCUUAGUCCCACAUUGCCUAGCCUUUGACCCCUAAGCCUCUUUUCCACCAAUAAAUAUAGACCCAUAGAGCCUCCAAAAAUCAUCCGAUUCGGGUUAAAUCAAUAUUUUGGUUUGACUAGAUUCAUUUAAGAAAAAUAUAUUUCUCCUCUCCGGCGCGACUUCUGGAAAUUAUCUCCUCUCCAAAGUCGUCUUUUCUCUGCCUUAUAAAGGUAUCUUUUUUUUCUUCUUCUUAUACCUCCGUAGUUUAUUAUUUUUAGACUAAUAUGAUAAAAUAAUUAGAUUAUCAAUUAGUCUACGUAUUUAUACAUUAGACCCUAGCCCGUAGCUAUUUUUUCUUCCAUAAAACAGCUUGGCCCUGAUUUUUCAAAUAGCCAUAACUUUUUACUCGUUUGCCCAAAUCCAACGAAACCAAUGCCCACUUCUUCGUUAUGAUCUCCUCUAUCCAGUAAUCCAACUCAAACAUGUUUUUGAAAAUUUUAAAAUUUGAAUUAGAUCAGAUUUGAAUUCAAACUUCUUUUGAUCAUAUCUUUUUAUCCGUAACUCUAUUUGAGUUGAUUCUUUUUGCAAAUUGAAGCUCUUGACCUAAAUUUUUUGAUAAGGCCAAAUUCACAUAAUUUUGGUACUGUUAGAAAUUGUUUUAUGUUGCAGAGCUAUUUGCUUGGUUUUGAUGUUUUCCGAAUCGACUUCUUCGAUCUUUCUGGUCUUUUGAGUGAUUGCUUAUGUGUGGUUACUAUUGCUUGAUUACGAUAGAUUGACCGGAGUGUGACGAGUAGAGCUAUCAAGAUUUUUGAGUGCGAAUCAUCUUCAUCAACAUUGCAGGCAAGUUCACACUUUGAUCAUACCUCUUACUACCCAGUUUUAUUUGCAUUAGAUCAAACCUCAA
This 7783-nucleotide long non-coding RNA is filed under the name Triticum aestivum (bread wheat). Its description in RNAcentral is "long non-coding RNA (TAES_LNC021115)". The record is from RNAcentral. Lineage: Eukaryota; Viridiplantae; Streptophyta; Magnoliopsida; Poales; Poaceae.